AAAUUGAAGAGUUUGAUCAUGGCUCAGAUUGAACGCUGGCGGCAGGCCUAACACAUGCAAGUCGAACGGUAACAGGAAGAAGCUUGCUUCUUUGCUGACGAGUGGCGGACGGGUGAGUAAUGUCUGGGAAACUGCCUGAUGGAGGGGGAUAACUACUGGAAACGGUAGCUAAUACCGCAUAACGUCGCAAGACCAAAGAGGGGGACCUUCGGGCCUCUUGCCAUCGGAUGUGCCCAGAUGGGAUUAGCUAGUAGGUGGGGUAACGGCUCACCUAGGCGACGAUCCCUAGCUGGUCUGAGAGGAUGACCAGCCACACUGGAACUGAGACACGGUCCAGAC
Molecule: ribosomal RNA, 339 nt
Filed under: Escherichia coli
Lineage: Bacteria; Pseudomonadati; Pseudomonadota; Gammaproteobacteria; Enterobacterales; Enterobacteriaceae
Description: bacterial SSU rRNA
Rfam family: Bacterial small subunit ribosomal RNA
Source: RNAcentral